Molecule: ribosomal RNA, 409 nt
Filed under: Lancefieldella parvula
Lineage: Bacteria; Bacillati; Actinomycetota; Coriobacteriia; Coriobacteriales; Atopobiaceae
Description: bacterial SSU rRNA
Rfam family: Bacterial small subunit ribosomal RNA
Source: RNAcentral
AACGCUGGCGGCGCGCCUAACACAUGCAAGUCGAACGAUUAAAGCACCUUCGGGUGUGUAUAAAGUGGCGAACGGCUGAGUAACACGUGGGCAACCUGCCCCUUUCAUUGGGAUAGCCACGGGAAACCGUGGAUAAUACCGAAUACUUCGAGACUUCCGCAUGGAAGACUCGAGAAAGCUCCGGCGGAGAGGGAUGGGCCCGCGGCCUGUUAGCUUGUUGGUGGGGUAACGGCCUACCAAGGCAAUGAUGGGUAGCUGGGUUGAGAGACCGACCAGCCAGAUUGGGACUGAGACACGGCCCAGACUCCUACGGGAGGCAGCAGUGGGGAAUCUUGCACAAUGGGCGAAAGCCUGAUGCAGCGACGCCGCGUGCGGGAUGAAGGCCUUCGGGUUGUAAACCGCUUUCAGC